GGGGUCGUAGCUCAGCUGGGAGAGCACCUGCCUUGCACGCAGGGGGUCAGGAGUUCGAUCCUCCUCGGCUCC
This 72-nucleotide transfer RNA is filed under the name Legionella pneumophila. Its description in RNAcentral is "tRNA-Ala". It matches the Rfam family "tRNA". Rfam says of the family: Transfer RNA (tRNA) molecules are approximately 80 nucleotides in length. Their secondary structure includes four short double-helical elements and three loops (D, anti-codon, and T loops). Lineage: Bacteria; Pseudomonadati; Pseudomonadota; Gammaproteobacteria; Legionellales; Legionellaceae. The record is from RNAcentral.